This 253-nucleotide ribosomal RNA is filed under the name uncultured bacterium. RNAcentral describes it as "partial 16S ribosomal RNA". It matches the Rfam family "Bacterial small subunit ribosomal RNA", at positions 524 to 776 of the family's 1533-position model. The record is from RNAcentral.
UACAGAGGUCUCAAGCGUUGUUCGGAUUCAUUGGGCGUAAAGGGUGCGUAGGUGGCGGGGUAAGUCAGGUGUGAAAUUUCGGAGCUUAACUCCGAAACUGCAUUUGAUACUGCCUUGCUUGAGGACUGGAGAGGAGACUGGAAUUCACGGUGUAGCGGUGAAAUGCGUAGAUAUCGUAAGGAAGACCAGUGGCGAAGGCGGGUCUCUGGACAGUUCCUGACGCUGAGGCACGAAGGCCAGGGGAGCAAACGGG